Molecule: long non-coding RNA, 870 nt
Organism: Dreissena polymorpha
Lineage: Eukaryota; Metazoa; Mollusca; Bivalvia; Myida; Dreissenidae
Exons: 2
Source: RefSeq, a predicted model, not a curated record
GUGACCCAAUGCAGUAAAAUGGUUUCCGGAUGAUAUCUCAAGAACGCUUAUGCCUAGGAUCAUGAAACUUCAUAGAUACAUUGAUCAUGACUCGCAGAUGACCCCUAUUGAUUUUCAGGUCACUAGGUCAAAGGUCAAGGUCACGACCCGAAAUAAUAAAAUGGUUUCCGGAUGAUAACUCAAGAAUGCUUUGGCCUAGGAUCAUGAAACUUCAUAGGUACAUUGAUCAUGACUCGCAGAUGACCCCUAUUGAUUUUCAGGUCACUAGGUCAAAGGUCAAGGUCACGAUGACCUGAAAUAGUAAAAUGGUUUCCAGAUGAUAACUCAAGAACGCUUAUGCCUAGGAUCAUGAAACUUCAUAGGUACAUUUAUCAUGACUCGCAGAUGACCCCUAUUGAUUUUCAGGUCACUAGGUCAAAGGUCAAGGUCACGAUGACCGAAAUAGUAAAAUGGUAUCCGGAUGAUAACUCAAGAACGUUUAUGCCUAGGAUCAUGAAACUUGAUAGAUACAUUGAUCAUGACUCGCAGAUGACCUCUAUUGAUUUUCAGGUCACUAGGUCAAAGUUCAAGGUCACAGUGACCCAAUGCAGUAAAAUGGUUUCCGGAUGAUAACUCAAGAACGUUUAUGCCUAGGAUCAUGAAACUUCAUAGAUACAUUGAUCAUGACUCGCAGAUGACCCCUAUUGAUUUUCAGGUCACUAGGUCAAAGGUCAAGGUCACGGUGACCUGAAAUAGUAAAAUGGUUUCUGGAUGAUAACUCAAGAACGCUUAUGCCUAGGAUCAUGAAACUUCAUAGGUACAAUGAUCAUGACUCGCAGAUGACCCCUAUUGAUUUUCAGGUCACUAGGUCAAAGGUCAAGGUCACGGUGA